AUUGAACGCUGGCGGCAUGCUUUACACAUGCAAGUCGAACGGGCUUGGGGGCUUGCUCCCAAGUUAGUGGCGAACGGGUGAGUAAUACAUCGGAACGUACCGUGUAGUGGGGGAUAACGUAGCGAAAGUUACGCUAAUACCGCAUACGAUCUACGGAUGAAAGCAGGGGACCUUCGGGCCUUGUGCUAUACGAGCGGCCGAUGUCUGAUUAGCUAGUUGGUGAGGUAAAGGCUCACCAAGGCGACGAUCAGUAGCGGGUCUGAGAGGAUGAUCCGCCACACUGGGACUGAGACACGGCCCAGACUCCUACGGGAGGCAGCAGUGGGGAAUUUUGGGACAAUGGGCGAAAGCCUGAUCCAGCCAUGCCGCGUGUCUGAAGAA
This 381-nucleotide ribosomal RNA is filed under the name uncultured bacterium. RNAcentral's name for it is "bacterial SSU rRNA". It matches the Rfam family "Bacterial small subunit ribosomal RNA", at positions 30 to 412 of the family's 1533-position model. The record is from RNAcentral.